Molecule: long non-coding RNA, 305 nt
Filed under: Homo sapiens (human)
Lineage: Eukaryota; Metazoa; Chordata; Mammalia; Primates; Hominidae
Description: HSALNT0280328
Source: RNAcentral
AGUAAAUUAUCGUACUGUUUCUCAUCUCAGUAUUGACUAUGGUAUUUUUACAGGUACCCAGUCAAGAGAUUAUGACAUAUCCAUGGUUUUGACCUGGAUAUUCUGCAAGUAUCAAGGUGCUGUCAGUGGAUGGUGGUGAAACUAACAAUGAUAGUGAACAUGGACUUAGCUAAAAGAGAGGGAAAAGAUGGUGUGAGCCUUUACACUUUGGAGAGCUUCAGAUUUCAGUUAUCUCGGAUUCUGUCAGGAGAUUAUGGUGAGCCCAACAGUGGUAGUUGAUGUGGGACACUGCUGGAAUAUAGGUA